GCUUAACACAUGCAAGUCGAACGGUGAAGCCCUUCGGGGUGGAUCAGUGGCGAACGGGUGAGUAACACGUGGGCAAUCUGCCCUGCACUCUGGGACAAGCCUUGGAAACGAGGUCUAAUACCGGAUAUUACCCUGGAGCGCAUGCUCCGGGGUGGAAAGCUCCGGCGGUGCAGGAUGAGCCCGCGGCCUAUCAGCUUGUUGGUGGGGUGAUGGCCUACCAAGGCGACGACGGGUAGCCGGCCUGAGAGGGCGACCGGCCACACUGGGACUGAGACACGGCCCAGACUCCUACGGGAGGCAGCAGUGGGGAAUAUUGCACAAUGGGCGCAAGCCUGAUGCAGCGACGCCGCGUGAGGGAUGAAGGCCUUCGGGUUGUAAACCUCUUUCAGCAGGGAAGAAGCGCAAGUGACGGUACCUGCAGAAGAAGCACCGGCUAACUACGUGCCAGCAGCCGCGGUAAUACGUAGGGUGCGAGCGUUGUCCGGAAUUAUUGGGCGUAAAGAGCUCGUAGGCGGCUUGUCGCGUCGGAUGUGAAAGCCCGGGGCUUAACCCCGGGUCUGCAUUCGAUACGGGCAGGCUAGAGUGUGGUAGGGGAGAUCGGAAUUCCUGGUGUAGCGGUGAAAUGCGCAGAUAUCAGGAGGAACACCGGUGGCGAAGGCGGAUCUCUGGGCCAUUACUGACGCUGAGGAGCGAAAGCGUGGGGAGCGAACAGGAUUAGAUACCCUGGUAGUCCACGCCGUAAACGUUGGGCACUAGGUGUGGGUCACAUUCC
Molecule: ribosomal RNA, 772 nt
Filed under: Streptacidiphilus sp.
Lineage: Bacteria; Bacillati; Actinomycetota; Actinomycetes; Kitasatosporales; Streptomycetaceae
Description: bacterial SSU rRNA
Rfam family: Bacterial small subunit ribosomal RNA
Source: RNAcentral